Long non-coding RNA from Schistocerca gregaria, 711 nucleotides. RefSeq lists it as uncharacterized. The transcript has 2 exons. Lineage: Eukaryota; Metazoa; Arthropoda; Insecta; Orthoptera; Acrididae. The record is from RefSeq and is a predicted model, not a curated record.
UUCUUGUGACAAGUGGCCUGGUUCUUGUUAUUUACUAGGUCUAUAUUGUUGUGGUGGGUACAUAACGAUCGAGUACUGUCGUUCUGCUCUUGCCAUCGCUGUCGUCAUUGAUUAGAUUAGAUUAAUGCUUGUUCCAUAGAUCAUGAAUACGACACUUCGUAAUGAUGUGGAACGUGUUUAUUGAAGGUUUUGAUGACAGACUAAUCAGUAGCUUAGGUUGACGUGUAGGUUUAGUGUCAGCCAGAGCUAAAAUAUGGUCUGGGGAAAAUUUAAAAUCUCGAGCUUUUAUUCGUUUUAAAAUAUAAAUUCCUUGUUAAGUAGUGCCAGGUGCUGAUGGCUCGGGAGAGGGUAACGAUCGAUAUGACGGGAUGGUACGAGCCGGUCAGUCAAUCGAACGCCUUCUUUUGUCUUGCUCGGUGGUGUCAGUGAUUUUGUUUGGGCUGUAAUGGUUCGACGGCAUCUGUAGGUUUACUGACAGUCCGCGAUCUUCCUAUCAAUUUAUGAAUUACAUAAAAGAUAGCUUCAUCUAUUGUGAAAACCAGAGGUCUACAAUUGUCUCUUGAAAAGAGACGUGCAUUACAAGAGUCUAUCAAACAAACAAGAGAAUUGUCAAAAGCACGCAAAGAACAGUUUUUGGAGGAAAAGAAAGCAAAGAAACUGAGGCGGAAGCUUAAUCUUGAAAGACAGGAGGCAAACAGAAGAAAAUCUGAA